AUCAUAUAUCCUGUUACGGUUUAUAUUUAGAUGUUUCCCCCAGCCUCAUACAUUCAUCUGUGGGGCUUUGGAAAGGCCAGCUGGGUAUAGCUGGCUUGUCCUUGGGAACAAGUUCUAGUCUGAAGAGGCCUGCCACUGGGGCCGUGGCCUGGGAGGGUUUAUUACCCUACCUGGAUCCUCCCUAACUCUCUACUUCAUAAUCACCUUGCCAUGAGCAGCCUUGCUUUGCCAGACUCCCACCAUGCUGCUUCUCUUGGGAGCCACCAAGCGUGCAGGACCGAAAGUCCUAACAUGUGAGCCAAAUAAACCUCCCCUCUUGCAAGCUGUGAAUAUCGGGUAUUGUAUCUGAGCAACAAGGAGAGUGAUUUAGGCAAAUACUAAAAAAAUUCCUUUAUUUUUCAAUAACAGAACUCAGUUCUUAUGUCCCACUUCUAUUGGUGACAGAAAACAUAGUCUUACCACAUCAAGAGGGAUGGGUAACAAACUCAGAAGCUGGGCUCUUCUGCCAUGUUAAAUCCAUCUGCAUAGAACAUCCCACCUCUGCUGCUACUCUGAUCAGCGUUGUUGUCAACCCUGAGCCGGCUGCUGCUCUGCUACCCUGGAAGAUGCAAACCGGUACAACAACACAGAGGAAUUCACAGAGGGAGCCAAGUUUAAUGCAAGCAAGAACUAGCAGGAUGUACUGGAGACUUAAGCUGAGAUAUGUGCAAGUGGUUUCUGAUUGAAUAUUUGUUUAAAUUUAGGGAAGUUAAAAGACUGAACAAUUAAAAUACAACCGCCAUUAGACAGUCAAUAGGAUUUGGAUUUGUGUUUUUUAAAAGAUGCUAUUAGUGUUAGUAAUGGAACCGAGAAAACACAAGCUGAAUGGAAAAUUGAUAGACAGCUCCCAUAAAGACCAGCGCUUUAAAAGAGCACCCUGAAAGAGAUUUUGUGGGGAGAAUGAGCCAGACGUUUCUGAAGAACAAUUUUAAAGUAUUUUGAGCCUUUGGAGAGACUGAAAAUAUUGAACAUCUAUCUCAUGGCUAUAGAAACAAAUGAAAGGAGACGAUUUUUGUCUCACCAUGUGUACCAGUGGUGGUGAAACUAUGGCACGUAUGUCACAGUGGGCACACAGAGACCUCUCUGUUGGCACGAGAGCCACUUUGCCUCAGCAGCCAAGCAUCAGAUGAUGGUUGUUUUUUCUAAACUAAAACCUCGGUAUUCACAUUUAAGUAUAAGUCUUGGCACUUUUUGAUAAUAAGUAGGUUUUGGGUUGCAGCUUGGGUACUAGGUCUGUAAAAGUAUCACCAUCACUGAUGCAUACCGAUAAAGAGCCAGUAAAGACAUUGUUAGAAAGCAGAUAUCAUCAAAUUGAUUCUAUGAAGUGUGAAAUCAAAAUUUCAUAACCCAAAGAGGUAUUUAGGCAGCAACAACAACUCGAAGGAGGAAAAAGUGCUGUAGGGGGUGAAGGAGGUGAUACUAGGGGUGAUGGCAGAAGUCGAGGCCAAAGCUGGGACCAAGAAUUUAAUAACUGUUACAAUUAUGAAAAUUAUUAAGGGUACAGAAGUUACAACAGGACCUAGAGUGGAUGAUCAAAUCUAUUUGGCUAUGUAAGAUAUGAUUAUACUGGGCAUAACUGGGAACUAUGGCUGUGAACACGAGGGAUAUGCAGGUUACAGAGGCCAACAGAGCAUGUACAGUAAAGCAUUGAUAGGACUGGCAAGUACCAAAGUAACCACCAGUCACACUAAAGAAGGGGCAUUGGGGAAAAUAAGAGAUGCUAACAAAACCCACCUUAAGGAUGACACUGAAGACUGGUCUCCUUUUGAUCUAAAACACUUCCCAGUGUAUAAGACACUACUAUGUCCAGCUGGGUAUAGCCAACAUGUAGUUCACUUUGCUUUUACUUUGUUCUUCAUAUCUGUGUUAUGACUCAGUGUGUGGUUCCAUUUUUAUAAAAUUUAUUUAUAUGACUUCUUCUUAAACCUAAGGAAGUGUUCUUAUAAAACAGAUUUCUGAAAUUAUUUUCUGUGUAUUCUAAGAUUGAAUAAAUAGUAGAUAAAAGAUGUAUAAUA
Long non-coding RNA from Cavia porcellus (domestic guinea pig), 2054 nucleotides. RefSeq lists it as uncharacterized. The transcript has 2 exons. The record is from RefSeq and is a predicted model, not a curated record. Lineage: Eukaryota; Metazoa; Chordata; Mammalia; Rodentia; Caviidae.